This is a long non-coding RNA of Oncorhynchus tshawytscha (Chinook salmon), 7453 nucleotides long. NCBI's taxonomy places the organism in Eukaryota, Metazoa, Chordata, Actinopteri, Salmoniformes, Salmonidae. The record is from Ensembl.
GGCAGAGAGACCAGUAAAGACACUGGCAGAGAGACCAGUAAAGACACUGGCAGAGAGACCAGUAAAGACACUGGCAGAGAGACCAGUAAAGACACUGGCAGAGAGACAAUAACAAAAGCUAGUCAAGAGACCCGAAAGGACAGCAGGAGCAGAGGGAAAGAUAAGGAGGCGGAAAAGAUAAUCAAGGAGAUGGAGACUGGCAAAAAAGAGACCAGUACAGAGACUCGCAAAAAGUUAGGGAGUAAGACUAGAAACAUGACAGUCCAUGAGACCAGCAAAGACACUGGGAAAAUGACCAGUACAGAGACUGUUAAGGAGACUGAGAGAGAGACUAGCACAGACAUGGAGAGAGAGACCUGUAGAGCUGUUAGUAUAGUGGCCAGUAGAAUCAGCAAUAGAGAAACCAAAAAAAAGCCAGAGACUUGUAAAACACCUGAAAAGAAGACCAAUACUCAGACUGUGAAAGAAAAAACUAAAGUGACUCCUCCCCCCAUCUCCCCUCCAACCACUAAUCUGUGGGAUUUCCUGAAGAGGCAGAACCGAGGAGCUGUGAUUGGUCUGAGUGCACUCAUCGAGUGCCACAGUCACGGCCAGCCCCCCCUCUACCUCUGCCAGGUGUGUGGGUGUAAAGUCUUCCAGAACGCCAUCAUCGUCCAUGUAACCACAGACUGCCACCGGCUUUCCUACCUGAGGUCGCUGAAGACAGUGGUUGUCCCCAAAGGGAACCAGCUCCAUAAGAAGUUGAGGAGAGCUGCCUUGAAGCUGGAGAGGACCAUGGGAUAUGGAGAGGCUGAGGUAACGGAGUUGGAUGCACACACUUACAAUUUUGUUGCAGAAAGAUCCUUUGCCAUUGGCCUGAACAUUGUAAUGAAGGUCAUAAAUGGUGACCCUUCACCUGACCCCCUACUGUUGGUCAGCCCUAAACCCCCUGACCCCUCACCCCAGGUCAGCCCUGACCCCUCACUCCAGGUGUCAGAGGUCAGCAACCCCACCAUGACCUCUACAGCUCUGUGGUCCUACCUGAAUGCCUCCACCAGGACACAGCCUGUCAUCGGUGUCAGUAUGUUGACAGAGUUGCCAGACAGACAUGGUGACUACUUCCUCUGCCGCUGCUGUUCUCACAGGAUGUUUACAUCAUCCCUCAUUGGACACCUAAUCUCUGCUCGACACCGCUACCACUACAUAAAACUAGUGUACCCUGAGCUGGCUGCUGAUUGGCCAGUGAGCCCAGAGCUGACGGUGAAGGCGGGGCCUCUUCAUGAGGAGCUGAGAGUGAGAGCUGCAGAACUGGAGGCACAGGAGGGACUAGGACAGCUCACGGUGGUAAAGAGAGAACCUGCUGCUGGAGACACAACCACUACCAAUACUGAAGGGACUGCCCAGCAGAGCCAGAACGGCUCACCUCCUCUCUCUGUGAAAGAGGAACCGGUUGACUCCACAGUACCAUCCCAGCCCCCUAGAGGAGAAAAGAGGAACAAGAGGAGGAGCAACCCUGUGGUUGGUGUGAACUUCCUGGUCCAGGUGUCCCACAGGAGAAGGAAACAGUACUACUGUCAGCUAUGUUCUGUCAGGAUGAAACACGCUAUUGCUGAUCACAUGACCAGCCUCAGCCACCGACACAACUAUGUGAGGUUGAAGUACCCUGGUUGGACCUCCAGCCCGGUAGAGAUGGAGAAGAAGCUGUUCAAAAUGGCCGUUCACCUGGAGAAGGUCGACAGAGACGCAGGAAUGGGCAUGCAGAAGGUAGAAGUGGAAGCUGAUGAGUACAAAGAGCUGUUGUCCUUUCCUGUGGAGGAAGGUGUCAGUAAACUGCAAGCCAUCAUCAGACGGCAACAAGAGCCAUGCGAUCUGAGACACACAGCUCCCUCGACCAAUCACAACCCAGAGGAUCUGAGACAGACAGCUCCCUUGUCCAAUCCCGAUGCAGCCCAAUGUCCAGCUCAAGGUAUGUGUGGGGCAGAGUCACGUGAGACCGAGGGAGUGUGUCCUCUCCCUGUCAGUCUAUCAGAGGAGGAGAAUGACCAGACGCUCCUGGUUCAGAUCUCAAUGUUUUUGGGAGAAGACCAGGAACCCCUACAAGUACCUUCCCGUUCCUCCAGGAUCAGCCACCCCUUAUUUCCAUCCCUCUCCCACUCUCUACACCUCACCCUAUCCCCCUCUCUUCCUCAAUCCCCCUCCCUCUCUCCCUCAAACCCCUUUUCUACCUCUCUUUCCACAGUUGUCCUAUCUACCUCACCCUCCCUCUCUUCCUCCAUACCAUCCCACACCCCCUCGUUGUCCACAGAGAAGACAACACACCCCUCCCCUGUCUCUGUCCCUGUUCCUGCACCUCUCUCAGCUCUGAGGAGCUCAACACAUUUGAAGGACUGGGAGACUUCUCUGAGUCCAGAGUGGUGGGAGAGGAAGAGCCCAGAAUGCAGAGAGACACAGACGCUUCUAGAAAUACCAGACAGACACACUCUUCUGGAAUACUCGGGCAGAGACAGACAGAUUGAAUACUCAGCGACAGACCGACAGACUGCAUACACUGAGAGAAACCGACAGACUCAUCUAGAAUACUCUGAGAGAGACAGACGGGCAGACUACUCAGAGAGAGACAGACGGGCAGACUACUCAGAGAGAGACAGACGGGCGGACUACUCGGAGAGAGACAGACGGGCGGACUGCUCGGAGAGAGGCAGGCGGGCGGACUACUCCGAGGGAGGCAGGCGGCCGGACUACUCCGAGGGAGGCAGGCGACCGGACUUCUCCGAGGGAGGCAGACGGGCGGACUUCUCCGAGGGAGGCAGACGGGCGGACUUCUCCGAGGGAGGCAGACGGGCGGACUACUCCGAGGGAGGCAGACGGGCGGACUACUCCGAGGGAGGCAGACGGGCGGACUACUCCGAGGGAGGCAGACAGGCGGACUACUCCGAGGGAGGCAGACAGGCGGACUACUCCGAGGGAGGCAGACAGGCGGACUACUCCGAGGGAGGCAGACAGGCGGACUACUCCGAGGGAGGCAGACAGGCGGACUACUCCGAGGGAGGCAGACAGGCGGACUACUCCGAGGGAGGCAGACAGGCGGACUACUCCGAGGGAGGCAGACAGGCGGACUACUCCGAGGAGGCAGACAGGCGGACUACUCCGAGGGAGGCAGACAGGCGGACUACUCCGAGGGAGGCAGACAGGCGGACUACUCCGAGGGAGGCAGACAGGCGGACUACUCCGAGGGAGGCAGACAGGCGGACUACUCCGAGGGAGGCAGACAGGCGGACUACUCCGAGGGAGGCAGACAGGCGGACUACUCCGAGGGAGGCAGACAGGCGGACUACUCCGAGGGAGGCAGACAGGCGGACUACUCUGAGGGAGGCAGACAGGCGGACUACUCUGAGGGGGAACUGGACGAAGACCAAGAACACACACAUCAUCACAGUGAACACACACAUCAGCACAGUGAACACACACAUCAGCACAGUGAACACACACACUUCGAGCAGGCCCCAGCAAGCUGGCUCAGUGUUCCACAGGUGUAUCUGCUGCCGGACACACCCGCAGCAAAGAGGGUUGUCGGCCCCAGCCACCUGUCCAAAUACCUGAAAGUGAAGGGCCUUCACAACACAGAACCGAUCAUAGGUCUGGGCAGUGUGGUGGAGUGUAGAGGUAUAUCCCAGGCUACGUUUUUCAUGUGUGUGAGCUGUGCUGAGACUCUCUCCAGUACACACAUCUGUGAACACAUCAUCAGCGCGCAACACCAGCAGUGCUACAUGUUUUCCCAGUAUAGUCCUAUGCGCUGUGAUUGGUUGAGAGAGCAGCAGCAGCCUCCGAGUCCACAGCUCCUCAGGAAGGUUGCUUCAGCACUGUCACAACUGGAGGUGGAUCUAGAUGCACAGGUGAUGCUGCUGGAUCAGAUGUGGUAUAACCUUGUGAAGUCAGCUCCAUUCUACGAAGCCAUGUACAUGCUGCAGGAACAGAAUCAGAAUGCCCUGUGUCUACACACAGCAAGCAGACAUCAGCUUUUUCCCCCAGUUGGUCCUGACCCAGCAACGGAGCAGGGCUUUGACCAGAACCACAGAGUGAUGGAUAAACUGACCAUGGAUCAGAUUGAGCCCCAUCACCCCCUGCAGACAGCAGAUACAGUGGCUGGUAAACUGACUGGAGAUCAGCUGGAGUCAGGCCAGUGCAUACAGACCGCAGACAGACGGCCAGAUAAUCAGAACCCGGAUCAGCCCCAGUGGAGCCAGAGCUCAGAGAGAACAGAGAUGGUCCCUGAGCCAAUAAGAGCCAAGACACCACAUAAUUCUGAGCCAAUCAGAGACCAGACACCACAGAACAUUGAGCCAAUCAGAGCCAAGACGUCAAAGAAUUCUGACCCAAUAAAAUUCCAGACACCACAGAACACUGGGCCAAAAAGAGCCUGGAUGCCACAGAACUCCUCAGAACCACAUCUGGACCAAGACAACACAGUCAUUGUCAAACAGGAGCCUGUGGACCCCAAGGUGGAACCUCAGCCCCAUCCUCAUACCCAGCCUGAGGUGGACCCCUUAAAGGGUGUGUGUGAGGUGGAGUACCAGGGGACCGUCCUAGCACACAGCCAAGAGGUGACACGAAUAGGAGGGGCCACAGAGAACUCCCUUCAACCCACCAAGAACUUGAGAGACUCCGUCAACAACAGCUUGCCUUUGGUCGGUCUCAGUGCAAUGAUAGAGUGUUGCAGUGAGGGCCAGGUGUCCUUCUACCUGUGUGUGUCGUGUGGCAGCAAAAUUGAAAAAACUCUACUCAUCAGCCACGUCCUCAAAUACAGACACCGACAGCUGUACCUGACAAUGAGGUACCCGUGGUAUUUCCUUGGUGUGGUACCAGCCCGAGGGUUGGCAGAACAGUCCAGACUGAUGCAGAUUGCUAAGGAGGUGGAGGAGCAGAACCAUGAUGAGCCUGGCACGCUACAGGAGGUGAUUCUGGCCCCUGCUGACUUUGCCGAGAUCAAACGGAUGCUGUUUGAUAAAGCUGUAUCCCGUUUGCAGGAGAUCUGUAGAGAGCAGAACCAGACUGAACUCCUCACCAUGGUCACCAGCAAACCUGAACCAAUAGUGGUCAAGCAGGAGAUUGUGGAGUGCCAGGUGGUCUCCCAUCAGGCCUUGGGGCUAUUCCUACCGCCACAGAGAUGUAGGAGAAACACGGGAAAACGUUGUUCUAACGUUGAGGGGUCAGAGGUGAGGGGUCAGCAGCAGGUGAAGAAGAGAAAGGUGUCCAGCCCCCCUGAGGGUCACACUGCCCCUGUCAUCUGUCUAUCAUCUCCUGAAGUCAUCAAGUCUUCUGAAACACACACUGUCAACCAGACACACAUCAUCACACCCUCACCCACACAAUCCAACACUAAGCCGAAACUCACAUACACACACUCUGACUCUCAAACUAAACUUAAACCUUCACGCACACACCCCAAACCCAGUUCAACAGCCCCAGAAUAUACUAGACCCAAACUCAUUCCCCAUUCUGCCACCAAGCCCUCCGGUAUCCCUGCCGACAGCCUGACUGUUGCCAAAGAGUCCUCUAGCAAGAAAGCCACUCACACACUGUGCAAACCCACACACACACUGUCCAAUAGCCAGAAGCUCACUGACAAACAUUCGGACAAGAAUGAGUCUCAGAAACAUACUGAAAAGGCUAAACCUACUCGCACACACAGUGAACGCACACACAGAAACCGCACACACACUCGCAAACACAGUGACCUCACACGCACUGACAAAGCCAAAGACGGACACAGUGACAAGACCAAACGCAGACACAGUGACCGCAAACACACUAACAGACAUUCUGACCACUCACGCUGUCACACCAGCUCUAAGAGACAUAAUCGUAGCUCCAGCCGUUCCUCCAAAGCCUCCCCCAGAGCUAGUCCCUCUGAGCCCCCUGCUCUCCCCCUACUCCCCGCUGCAUUCUCCCCCACCAGAGCCACUUCUGCGGCGAGCCUAAGCCAGGUCAAACCCAGCCAACCUUCCUGCCUAGUCAACAAACAACUACCCAAACAGUCCAGCCAACCAACCAAGAGACCUCCCAACCCAACCUCAGCAGUCAGACCUCUCCAGACCCAGGCCAACCCUCCCAACAACACCUCUUACCCCCACCUGCACCCAGAAAGAACCGGACCCAUGACCCCCCACUCGGACCCAUGACCCCCCACCCGGACCCAUGACCCCCCAACCCCCGGCAAUCCCUCCCUGCCUCACUCCUCCACCUCCACCCCAGCCAGGUCCUGUCUACGCCUCUGGGGUUAAGAAGAAGACUUCCAUUGUAGACUGUGAUCAAUUUGUGGAAUACUUUGUCUCUUUGUUGCGCUCCCCCCACUUUCCUCCUGCCCUAACCACCCCAGAGAGUGCAGAGAGCGCUGAGGCUCAUACCAGGGCAACAGGCCCUAACCCUGGAGGGGAGAAGAUGAGGGGUGACUCAAAAGGUCAUGCCAUCGCCAUAGUGGCGGCAUUACCCAACCCGCUAAAAAGGAAGCUAUCCCUACAGGAACCCGAGGACAGAGACCCCUGGAACUACGAGAGCCGACAGUUCACUCCCAACUCCAAACCUAACCCCAACUUCAAACCUAACCCAAACUUCCAGAACCCUGACUCCAAACCUAACCACAACUUCCAGAACCCUGACUCCAAACCUAACCACAACUUCCAGAACCCUAACUCCAAACCUAACCACAACUUCCAGAACCCUAACUCCAAACCUAACCACAACUUCCAAAACCCUAACCCUAAACCUAACCCCAACUUCCAGAACCCUAACUCUAACCCCAACUUCCAGAACCCUAACUCCAACUCUAACCCCAACUUCCAGAGUUAUACCCCCACUACCAAUGCCACACUAGCCCAGGGGGGUUACACUGGAGGGGUUACCGUUUCUUCUAGCCCUAACCCCACUGACCCACAGCCCCCAGAGAUUCUACCUGGUUACACCUACCCUGGUUACACCUACGCUGGUUACACCUACCCUGGUUACACCUACCCUGGUUCAGGUUACGCUGGAGUUGUCAGUGUUAGUCAGUUCACUUCCAACUCCCCCAUUAACCCUAUCCCCAGCCCCAGUAACACACAGUCACAGCCACAGGCAAGGUGGUCUGGGGGCAACUGGGGAACAGGCUACCCAGGGGCAGGCUAUGUUACAACAGGUCUAGCUGGUACUUCCUACCCUGGAGCUGUCUCUUCUGGAAGUGGACCUGGCUACCCUGGAGUUCUGCUCUACCCAGAGAUGGGCUACUCAGACAUGGACUGCCGUGGACAGGCUUACCCUAGGUCUGGGACUGGACUCGGCUCUACUGGGACUGUUAUGCCCCCAGGAAGCCUCUACUCUACCACACCAUCUCCAGCCAACCCCAGCUAUUUGGCCUUGACCCAGCCAUCACUUGACCCAGCCAGCUACUCCGCCUGGACUGCUACUGACACCGGGGUUGCCAUUGAAACCAGCACAGCAG